CCGUGGGAGUUGGCAGCGAGCACUCCAGCUGGAGUGGCGGCAGCUUUGGCCAAGAGUAUGCUGACCAGUGUAGUCAGUCCAGGGAACAACAGGAUGGCCCUGGAGGGGCUUUUCCAGUGUUGCUUCUUUUCUAGACAGAGGAGGAUAUCUUGGUCAGAAAAGAGCUUGAAGAAAUUGCCAGGACUCACCCAGACCAGUUCGACCUGUGGUACACCCUGGACAGGCCUCCCAUUGGCUGGAAGUACAGCUCAGGCUUCGUUACUGCCGACAUGAUCAAGGAGCACCUUCCUCCUCCAGGGAAGUCCACGCUCAUCCUGGUGUGUGGCCCGCCACCCCUGAUCCAGACGGCGGCUCACCCUAACCUGGAGAAGCUGGGUUAUACCCAGGAUAUGAUUUUCACCUACUAACACCUCCAUGUGGUCAGCAAAUUUGCAUGUCCCUUUUCAUCUGUUUCAGAGUAAGUUCAAUUUCACCACGUUAAACUGGGAUGUUUUCAAAA
Molecule: small RNA, 499 nt
Filed under: Pongo abelii (Sumatran orangutan)
Lineage: Eukaryota; Metazoa; Chordata; Mammalia; Primates; Hominidae
Description: retained intron
Source: RNAcentral